GACGAAGGAUGCAAGCGUUAUCCGGAUUCAUUGGGUUUAAAGGGUGCGUAGGCGGACUUGUAAGUCAGUGGUGAAAUCUCUCAGCUUAACUGAGAAACUGCCAUUGAUACUGCAGGUCUUGAGUACAGAUGAUGUUGGCGGAAUAUGACAUGUAGCGGUGAAAUGCAUAGAUAUGUCAUAGAACACCGAUUGCGAAGGCAGCUGACAAAACUGUAACUGACGCUGAGGCACGAAAGUGUGGGGAUCAAACAGG
This 253-nucleotide ribosomal RNA is filed under the name uncultured bacterium. RNAcentral describes it as "partial 16S ribosomal RNA". It matches the Rfam family "Bacterial small subunit ribosomal RNA", at positions 524 to 776 of the family's 1533-position model. The record is from RNAcentral.